This 481-nucleotide ribosomal RNA is filed under the name uncultured bacterium. RNAcentral's name for it is "partial 16S ribosomal RNA". It matches the Rfam family "Bacterial small subunit ribosomal RNA", at positions 30 to 506 of the family's 1533-position model. The record is from RNAcentral.
AUUGAACGCUGGCGGCAUGCCUUACACAUGCAAGUCGAACGGUAACGGGCCUUCGGGUGCCGACGAGUGGCGAACGGGUGAGUAAUACAUCGGAACGUGCCCGAUCGUGGGGGAUAACGAGGCGAAAGCUUUGCUAAUACCGCAUACGAUCUACGGAUGAAAGCAGGGGACCGCAAGGCCUUGCGCGGACGGAGCGGCCGAUGGCAGAUUAGGUAGUUGGUGGGAUAAAAGCUUACCAAGCCGACGAUCUGUAGCUGGUCUGAGAGGAUGAUCAGCCACACUGGGACUGAGACACGGCCCAGACUCCUACGGGAGGCAGCAGUGGGGAAUUUUGGACAGUGGGCGCAAGCCUGAUCCAGCCACGCCGCGUGCAGGAUGAAGGCCUUCGGGUUGUAAACUGCUUUUGUACGGAACGAAAAGCCUUCUUUUAAUACAGGAGGGUCAUGACGGUACCGUAAGAAUAAGCACCGGCUAACUACGU